UGGGGAAUAUUGGACAAUGGGCGCAAGCCUGAUCCAGCCAUGCCGCGUGAGUGAUGAAGGCCUUAGGGUUGUAAAGCUCUUUCGACGGGGACGAUAAUGACGGUACCCGUAGAAGAAGCCCCGGCUAACUUCGUGCCAGCAGCCGCGGUAAUACGAAGGGGGCUAGCGUUGCUCGGAAUCACUGGGCGUAAAGGGCGCGUAGGCGGACGUUUAAGUCAGAGGUGAAAGCCCAGGGCUCAACCCUGGAAUGGCCUUUGAUACUGGACGUCUUGAGUCUGGUAGAGGUUGGUGGAACUGCGAGUGUAGAGGUGAAAUUCGUAGAUAUUCGCAAGAACACCGGUGGCGAAGGCGGCCAACUGGACCAGAACUGACGCUGAGGCGCGAAAGCGUGGGGAGCAAACAGGAUUAGAUACCCUGGUAGUCCACGCCGUAAAACGAUGGAUGCUAGCCGUUGGCCGGUUUACCGGUCAGUGGCGCAGCUAACGCGUUAAGCAUCCCGCCUGGGGAGUACGGCCGCAAGGUUAAAACUCAAAUGAAUUGACGGGGUCAUAGCUGUUUCCU
RNAcentral lists this ribosomal RNA (561 nucleotides) under uncultured bacterium. RNAcentral's name for it is "partial 16S ribosomal RNA". It matches the Rfam family "Bacterial small subunit ribosomal RNA", at positions 355 to 1375 of the family's 1533-position model. The record is from RNAcentral.